UCGUGCUAGACGGGGAGGUAGCGGUGCCCUGUUCCCGCAAUCCGCUAUAGCGGGGUUGAAUUCCUGCCCGCGGGCGUCUGGCGUCGUCGACUUCUUCUGCGGUAGUGGCGUUGAUGGCCAGGUCCCAUGCAAUGGCCGCCCAUGAACCCCGUCAGGACCGGAAGGUAGCAGCGGUAAGUGGCGACCGGUCAUGUGAUAUGGGGUCGCCUGGUUGGAGUUAACCCGCAAAAGAAGAGCGGUGUCAGCGUUCAGAGGCAGGUGCACGA
RNAcentral lists this signal recognition particle RNA (266 nucleotides) under Candidatus Latescibacterota bacterium. RNAcentral describes it as "Candidatus Latescibacteria bacterium signal recognition particle sRNA large type". It matches the Rfam family "Bacterial large signal recognition particle RNA". From Rfam's summary of the family: The signal recognition particle (SRP) is a universally conserved ribonucleoprotein involved in the co-translational targeting of proteins to membranes. Archaeal SRP consists of a 7S RNA and homologues of the eukaryotic SRP19 and SRP54 proteins. In most bacteria, the SRP consists of a 4.5S RNA and the Ffh protein (a homologue of the eukaryotic SRP54 protein). Lineage: Bacteria; Pseudomonadati; Candidatus Latescibacterota. The record is from RNAcentral.